This 780-nucleotide small RNA is filed under the name Vigna angularis var. angularis. Its description in RNAcentral is "Non-protein coding transcript". Lineage: Eukaryota; Viridiplantae; Streptophyta; Magnoliopsida; Fabales; Fabaceae. The record is from RNAcentral.
GUGUGAAACGGCAAAGAAGAAUCGGACAUCUGAUAAGGGUGGAUGUUUGCACACUAGAGGAUCUAUAAGCGUACAUGAGCAUGCUAUUCGUUUGUCACAAGAGCUUGGUCGGUCUGUGCAUGUUGAUGAAAUAUUUCAGCAGACACAUAUUCGUCAAUCAACGGGAGAAUUUGUGGACGAAAGGUCUAGGCGAACCCAUGAACAAUUUGUUGCAAAAUUUUCUGAAAUUAGAUCUGAGACUGCAUCUGUUGGUGUCUCAACAUCUUCUCCUCUAGACCCUGCGGAGGAGGAAAGAUUGAGAAACCGAUGUUGGUUAGAGGCUGCUGGUGGAAAAUACAAGGGACGCGUAUACGGCAUUGGAAAUGUCACUUCCCAAGAUGACUGUGUUGAUAGUUACAUCCAACAGACACAGGCAUCUUCUACUGCUCAACCUCAAAAUUCAGAAGAAAUUGUUAACCUGAAAUCGCAGUUAGAACAAUAUGGUCAGCAGCUUCAAAAGUUUGAAGGCUUUAUUGGCGUCCUCCUGCCAUUCCUUCCGCCUUCAGCAGCCGCGGCUGCACAACAAUUUUUAAACCUUCAAAAUCCUCAAGUUCAAAAUGACGUACCCAAUACAGUCCAACCAGAACAGCAACCUCCAGAACAGCAACCACCACAUGAAGAACCAGAAGAUGGAAAUGAUGAUUACAUGCAUUAUUAGGAAUUUUAUAGAACUUAUUUCCAUUACUGUUGAACUUAUUUAGAACCACAACUACAAUCUGUUUAUGAACUUACCAAAUGUUG